GUAUGCUUGCUUUGGCAGUACACAUACUAAAAUAGGAAUGGUACAGAGAAGACUAGCUUGGCCCCUGUGCAGGGAUGAUACACAAAUCCAUGAAGUGUUUCACAUUUAG
Non-coding RNA from Mesocricetus auratus (golden hamster), 109 nucleotides. The record is from Rfam. NCBI's taxonomy places the organism in Eukaryota, Metazoa, Chordata, Mammalia, Rodentia, Cricetidae.